RNAcentral lists this ribosomal RNA (253 nucleotides) under uncultured bacterium. RNAcentral's name for it is "partial 16S ribosomal RNA". It matches the Rfam family "Bacterial small subunit ribosomal RNA", at positions 524 to 776 of the family's 1533-position model. The record is from RNAcentral.
UACGGGGGGGGUAAGCGUUGUUCGGAAUUACUGGGCGUAAAGGGCUCGUAGGCGGCCAACUAAGUCGGACGUGAAAUCCCUCAGCUUAACUGGGGAACUGCGUCCGAUACUGGAUGGCUUGGAUUUGGGAGAGGGAUGCGGAAUUCCAGGUGUAGCGGUGAAAUGCGUAGAUAUCUGGAGGAACACCGGUGGCGAAGGCGGCAUCCUGGACCAACAUUGACGCUGAGGAGCGAAAGCGUGGGGAGCAAACAGG